This 103-nucleotide microRNA precursor is filed under the name Marmota monax (woodchuck). Lineage: Eukaryota; Metazoa; Chordata; Mammalia; Rodentia; Sciuridae. The record is from RNAcentral.
AGUGGAAUAACUGGGUCAAAUGGUGGUUCCACACUAAGUUUUCUGAGGAAUCUCCAUACUACUUUCUAAAAUGUUUGCGCCAAUUUUCAGUCCCACCAGCAAU